CCAUUCCCCCACCUCCGCACGAGCGGUGCGUGAGGGGGAAUGUGGAGUAAUAGUGGAUACGGGUACGUUUCCCUGGGCGAGGCCAGGGGAAGAGAGGCUUGACGAGGUCUCUGGGGAGAACUGGGAGAAAAAGGCUCCCGUGAUUAAGGAGAGCUGCUAAAAAUUCCGCGGCUUGGGUGAGCAAAGAGCCUAAGGGCGCCAUUGUGCCCAGUCGGAUUGGCGAGGCUUUGCGGGGCACAGCCCUCCAGGUGCAGAAUUUGGGGGCCCUGGCCUAAAGGAGUGACCUCACUGGGUUGACAUCCCCCCCCCAACAUACACUUUGUUAUCACCCCAGUGCUGUAGCAGGGAUGCGGCUGCUUGGAGAUGGGAAUUGUGGCUCACGUUUGCAUCCCAGCUGCUGCCUGUAGAGAACUCCGUUGGUGGGCUCAGGUCGUGUAUAACGUGAUCAUUAGCAUCUCAGUGUCUCAAGGGAACCUCCUGAAGUUUCGGGAGGCCAAACAUCCCUCAGGUCGUCGAGUUGUCGAACACAGACUGGAACACAGACUGGAACCGGUGUUUUCUAACUCCACUUCCCAGUCCAAUCUGCCCACACGGAAAACGCAGAAGAUGCCAUUCUCUCUCUCUCUCUCUCUCUCUCUCUCUCUCUCUCUCUCUCUCUCUCUCUCUCUCUCUCUCUCUCGCUGUCUCUUACAGCUGGUUAAGUGGGAUGAAGAUAAUGCCACUUUGAAAGACCGCUACGGAAAUGGAUUCGCCGUGAAGGCAUUUGCAGAGGACUCUGAAAAUACAGCUUUUUAAUUGUUAGCGAUUACCUAAUACUACUUACGUUUCAAGUUCUUUCAAAAGACAAGCAUUAAGGUAAACUACCUGGAAGAGAGAUGUAAUCAAGAAAAAGUAAAUGCUCAAGUAGAAACAAGAGGGAUGCAAAAUGAGACGUUGUCAUAACAGUCAGAGCCCGGGAGCACAGCAACGUAUUCUACUAAGACCAGGAAAAUAACCUUUUCCCAGUCAAGCCUGCAGGCAAGGGGAGGGCAAGGAAAGAUGCUGGGAGAAAGCCAGUCACAGACGACAACCAGAUCCCACUGCAUGAGCCAAAUCUGACCAAGACUGAGUGUCUCAUCAGCCCUCACCCAUGAGAAUCAUGCAGUCCUCUGGCCCAAGAAGCAGAGUGCUACUCUGGGUAACUAUGCCCCUUCCCUCUCUGUUUUCCCCUGCAAUAUUUUCCCAGUCCAUAGCACUGAUCGCCUCCUUUAGUGUCCCUUUCUAAUUGAAACUAUAGACUUUCCCAGAACCCCAUCCAACAUGGAAAAUUGUUCUCUAAUCCCAGUUCUGACUACACCCUACGUCUCUGGCCAGGGUCCUGCUAGGAUGGAUUACUCUCAGACCAAUGAACUUCUCCAAAUACCACACACUGACUAGGCUUACUGGUUUACCAUAAUCUUCUUCUGGACAAGACCACAUUGGUACUAAAGCUUGUCUAAGUCAUGUCUGACCUUCAUGCGCCCUUUGGACAGGAAACAGAGGACUACCUCGUUUGGGUCAGCAUCUGUGUCUAAUUGUUUCUUUAGUCUCUGUCAUGCUUGGUCUUAAAUUCAGCCCCCUCUUCACCAACCAGUAUUGCUAAAUUCCUGACAUGUCUUCAUCCUCCCACUGUUCCUAUUGUGCUAUUGUUGCCGUAUCUGACUGAACAUGGUCGCAGGGUCAACAGAAGUUAAAAUCGAUGUGGGAGGAUACCCUACUUAGAGCCUCACUUCCGUUUGGUUCUCAUUCUCCUCCUCCUAUAAGUAGGACUAUACCGCUUUGCAGUUUCCUCCCAUUUCCCUUCCUUGAACCACUUAAGGCUUCUGAACCUCAGUUGGCUCAACUGUAAAGUGAGUCGGUAUUUCCUUCAUCACACUGAUACCGGAAGAUUAAAUGCGAUGACGUAUCUGUCAUGCACUUGCCACAGUGUCUGGCAUAGAGUAAGUAGUAAGUAUGUGUAUUGUUAGCUGUCAUGUGACCCUUAGGAAACUGUAUUUUCUAAUCCAACAUGAACGGUAAUAAAAAGUAGAAUAUGUCAGGUCUCCAAGCUGUUCCAUAGCUUCAAAAGUCUAAGACAUACAGAAUGGGUUUUGUGUCUACAGGCAAAACAUUAUUUAAAUUUGCCUCAGGCCCCGUUUCUCUUGAUUUUACCAUGUAUCUUUGGACAUUUAUGGUAUAAUGGCUGUCCAGCACCUGUUUACCCUCUCUUAAAUAGCCCCCAAAUUUAUUUUUGGUGAAUUUUCUCCCUGUCAUUGUAGUCUCUGACCAGGGACUCUGUGGUAUUAGGUGAAGGAGGCUUAAUGGGGAACACGUUGUCUAAAGAAUGCCAAAUGGAUGCUCUCUCCCUAGAUUUGAAUCUUGAGCAGAGGUACAUGGAAUCUAAAAACAUUUGGAAUGACACUUCAUUCCAAGAGCAGCACCUUGAUCACGUAGCUCCUACAGUCUACAUCCUAGCCUUCGGAGUAUUUUGGAUUCUGCCCAAAAUAGGACUUCCAGCUUCCUGACAAUUCUGUAAGACCCAAUCCCCCACCCCGGCCCCAAUCAUAGAUACAACUUUCAUACAACUCUGUUUUGUUUGCAUUCCCCAGAGUCCAUUUCUACUGUUUGCAACUGAAGAAUCUUGAUCACUAGGCUGUGACCCUGGCUUUUGGUUCCGCCCAGUGCUGUCUCCUACUUGUAUCCUUUCUUGUGAGGCCUGGUUCUGUGUCCACAUGAACACUUGAAUUCCGAGCUGUGGUUCAGUCCUGCUUCGCUCCCUUGGCUUCACCCUAAUAUAAUCUCUGCCUUACUGUUGUGAGGAUCCAUGGCUUUAGGCUCAUAUUCUCCUAAUUGACAAAGCCGGCCACACCCUGCUAAAGCUUUGUGUUUCAGUGCAGCUGUCUGCUUCAGUCACCCGGAGCCCUACCUCAGCUUCUGGUUGGAACCCUGCCAAGCGCAGACCUAACCCUUUGGACUGUGACUUAAUGCUUUGUGUUCCGCCAGCUUGGGUGACCUGAUGUAACUGAGAAGAAACUUCAACCAAAUGCCAAUACUUGCUGCUUUCUAGAGCUGUUACUCUCACUCCUACGAGUGUAUUUUUGUCAAUCACUGUCAUGACCGUCGAAGCCAGUCUCACCCUGUGUCUCGUUUCCUUUCCAUAUAUUACCUGUGUUCUUUAACACUUGUUGACUCAUAUCAGCAAAGACAUAUCAGCUGGGUCUCUUUACAAUGGAGCAAAUACACAUUGCACGUUCUAAAGUUACUACAGUUAUGUCAGUACUUAGUGAUGGGGUAGUCUUUGUUUUUGCAAGCUGCCUUAUCAGCUUCGUUCUGGUCUUAAAAUAUUAAAGAGAGGGGCGCCUGGGUGGCUCAGUCGGUUGAGCGUCCAACUUCGGCUCAGGUCGUGAUGUUGCGGUCUGUGAGUUUGAGCCCCA
This is a long non-coding RNA of Felis catus (domestic cat), 3431 nucleotides long. RefSeq lists it as uncharacterized. The transcript has 3 exons. The record is from RefSeq and is a predicted model, not a curated record. NCBI's taxonomy places the organism in Eukaryota, Metazoa, Chordata, Mammalia, Carnivora, Felidae.